Molecule: long non-coding RNA, 989 nt
Organism: Myiozetetes cayanensis
Lineage: Eukaryota; Metazoa; Chordata; Aves; Passeriformes; Tyrannidae
Exons: 2
Source: RefSeq, a predicted model, not a curated record
UGUGCGUGUGUGCGCUGUUGGGGGUUUUCCUGGCAGCCCCAGGCUAUGCAAAUGCCGCUUUCCCAGAAGUUUCGGAGUCCCACGGUCCGUAUUUCGAGGGGUGCGCCUGUGGAGUGGGAAACGCGAGCUCUGAGUCAGCGGCGCGGGGAAACCCAGCGCUGCUCGGGCCGUCCCGGUGUUUGCUUCCUAAAUGUGCCUCUGAGUCCCUGCGGAAUCCGUGCUCGGGGGGCGGCAGCUGAUCUUGCUGGUGAUGGUGGUGGUGGUGGGAUCCCGAGCCCCUCUCGCUUUGCCUAAAGCCGGUGUGAAUAACAGCUUCUCUGACAGGGGAUGCUUAGACUUCCACCACUGAGUUUUUGCCGCGUUUCGAAGGAAAAAGAACAGCAAGAAGUGAAAUUGAACCCUUCGCCCUCCGGUUUGCAAUGGGCAUUAAAGUUUAGUUGCUUAAAAGAAUUAUUUACAGGUAAUCUUUAGUCUGCUGUGUUGCUGGAAUUCAGGAAGUUGUGGGUUUGUGUUCAGGAGUGCAUGUGAAGCCUGAAAACCUGAAGAGCAUCUGCUUUUUACACAAACAUCACUCAAGGCUGGCAGCUGAGACACAGCGACCUUGGCUGUGACACGGAGAUCUCCAAAUGGAGCAGAACUCUCGGCCUUCCUGUCAGGCUUCCCUACAAUCUCUGCUGUUAAUCAAACACUGCAAUUGCACCUCUUUAAAGCUUGAUUUUGGUGAAUUUAUUUAACCUUGUGCAUGACAGGAAUUGCGCAGAGCCAAGGAAUGACAUUUACUUGACCCUCAUCUUGGAGGUUUGCUGGAGGAACGUGUCCUUGUCAGUGCACAGAGCUGGCUGGGAGCUCUGGGAGCAACAGAGCAGGGAAAAGUCAGGGGAAAGGGGUGUCUUGUCAACUGCUCUGUCAGUGCCCUCCCUUUGGAAAUACUUCUGGAGCUUAUGUGUUGAAGGUGAAGUAAAUACUAAUAAAGCUGCUGUUAAUUAAAA